GCCUGCGUAGCUCAACGGAGAGCCCCUCUGCUUCAUACCAUUGUGUCUUUGCAACCCAUUCCAGAGGAGCCGUGGGUUCGACUCCCACCGCAAGCA
Non-coding RNA from Mycena maculata, 96 nucleotides. The record is from the annotation of a GenBank genome assembly. Lineage: Eukaryota; Fungi; Basidiomycota; Agaricomycetes; Agaricales; Mycenaceae.